This 210-nucleotide ribosomal RNA is filed under the name Triticum aestivum (bread wheat). Its description in RNAcentral is "partial small subunit ribosomal RNA". The record is from RNAcentral. Lineage: Eukaryota; Viridiplantae; Streptophyta; Magnoliopsida; Poales; Poaceae.
AUGAAAAUUGGCAACAAUGCUUAUAAACUCCAAUUUCCAUCACAUGUCGAAAUGCAUCCCAUCUUUCAUGUAAGUCAACUAAAGAAGCAUCUGGGUCGCAAGUCUAUUCCUAGUCCAGAUCUUCCAAUGGUCAAUGAAGAUGGCACAAUCAAAAUUGAACUAGCAAUGGUCUUGGAAGUCAGCAAGUUACUAGAAAGAAUAUGCCAGUAG